UACGUAGGGGCUAGCGUUAUCCGGAAUUACUGGGCGUAAAGGGUGCGUAGGUGGUUUCUUAAGUCAGAGGUGAAAGGCUACGGCUCAACCGUAGUAAGCCUUUGAAACUGGGAAACUUGAGUGCAGGAGAGGAGAGUGGAAUUCCAUGUGUAGCGGUGAAAUGCGUAGAGAUAUGGAGGAACACCAGUGGCGAAGGCGGCUUCCUGGUCUGUAACUGACACUGAGGCGCGAAAGCGUGGGGAGCAAACAGGAUUAGAUACCCUGUAGUCCCUGA
This 274-nucleotide ribosomal RNA is filed under the name uncultured prokaryote. RNAcentral's name for it is "partial 16S ribosomal RNA". It matches the Rfam family "Bacterial small subunit ribosomal RNA", at positions 524 to 800 of the family's 1533-position model. The record is from RNAcentral.